CACUCAGGACCUCAGGACAAGGGGCACCAGGACUCCCCAGGCAGCCCUGCUAUAGCAGCGUUUUCAUUGCAGAACCAAGAGAGCUUUGAUGGGAACUGGGUUGGCCACCACAGCUUCAAUGACAAUGGGGACUCCUGAGAAGUUUCACACCUGCUGAUUUCCCCCAUCAUGCCAAAUCUUCCUGGUCAUUGAAGAAUUUUGCUUAAAGAACGCAAAGACCCCAUGUCUUCUCCCUGGUGCACUGCAAAUAAACCUGGAUCUUCCAC
RNAcentral lists this long non-coding RNA (266 nucleotides) under Struthio camelus australis. RNAcentral describes it as "lncRNA (ENSSCUG00000003531.1)". The record is from RNAcentral. Lineage: Eukaryota; Metazoa; Chordata; Aves; Struthioniformes; Struthionidae.